Molecule: RNA transcript, 1143 nt
Organism: Nycticebus coucang (slow loris)
Lineage: Eukaryota; Metazoa; Chordata; Mammalia; Primates; Lorisidae
Gene name: 60S acidic ribosomal protein P0-like
Exons: 2
Source: RefSeq, a predicted model, not a curated record
AUGGCUAUUGGGGGAUAUGGGAACAUCAGUGGGUACCUUUUAAAAACACAUAUGCAGCUCUUGCAUGCAGAGGAUUUUCAGCUGAUGGAUUCACCUGGCAUCCUUGAGUGUGUGACAUUGUCUUUAAACCCUACGUGGCCAUCUCUGAGGCACUGCCGUGAUGCCUGGGAAGACAAAGCAGCCUGAAAGACCAUCUCCUUCCUUAAGAUCAUCCAACUCGUGGGUGAGUAUCCAAAGUGCUUCACUGUGGGAGCAGAUGAUGUGGGCUCCAGGCAGAUGCAGCAGAUCCACAUGUUCCUUCCAGGGAAAGCUGCAGUGCUGAUGGGCAAGAAUACCAGGGAGUGCAAGGCCACCCAAGGGUGUCCAGAAAACAGCCCAGCUCUGGAGAAACUGUUGCCUCAUAUAUGGAGGAAUGUGGGCUUUGUGUUCACCCAGGAGGACUUCAAUGAAAUCAGGGAUAUUCUGCUGGCCACUAAGGUGCCAGCUACUGCCCAUGCUGGUGCCAUUGCCCAUGGGAAGUCACCGUGCUAGCCCACAACACUGGUCCGGGGCCAGGAAAAACCUCCUUCUUCAGGCUUUAGGCAUUGCCACUAAAAUCUCCAGGGGCAUCACUGAAAUUCUUAGUGAUGUGUAGCUGAUUGAGACUGGAGACAAAGUGGGAGCCAGCAAAGCCACACUGCUGAACGUGCCGAACAUCUGUCUCCCCCCGCCCCUCUGGGCUGGUCAUCCAGCAAGUAUUUGACAAGGUUGGCAUCAACAACCCUGGCAUGCCUGACAUUGCAAGGGAAACUGCAUUCUUGCUUCCUGGAGGUGCAAUGUUGCCAGUGUUUGUUGCAGCCUGGUUACCCAUUCUAUCAUCAACGGGUGCAAGAGAGUCGUGGCUUUGCCUUUGGAGACUUAUUAUACCUUCCUACUUGCUGAAAAGUCCAAGUCCUUUAGGCUGAUCCUUCUGCCCCUGUGGCUGCCACCACUGCUGCUGCUCCUGCUGCUGCUACAGCCCUAGCCAAGACUGAAGCUAAAUAAGAGUCAGAGGAGUCAGACGAGGAUGUGGGAUUCGGUCUCUUUGACUAAUCACCAAAACCAGCAAACUUAGCCAGCUUUAUUUUCAGAACAAGGAAAUAAAGGCUUACUUCUCUUAAAAGU